UACGGUGAAUACGUUCCCGGACCUUGUACACACCGCCCGUCAAGCCAUGGAGGCCGGGUGUACCUAAAGUCGAUAACCGUAAGGAGUCGCCUAGGGUAAAACUGGUGACUGGGGCU
This 116-nucleotide ribosomal RNA is filed under the name uncultured bacterium. RNAcentral describes it as "partial 16S ribosomal RNA". It matches the Rfam family "Bacterial small subunit ribosomal RNA", at positions 1358 to 1482 of the family's 1533-position model. The record is from RNAcentral.